Molecule: transfer RNA, 64 nt
Filed under: Histeroidea sp. 4 KM-2017
Lineage: Eukaryota; Metazoa; Arthropoda; Insecta; Coleoptera
Description: tRNA-Tyr
Rfam family: tRNA
About the family: Transfer RNA (tRNA) molecules are approximately 80 nucleotides in length.
Source: RNAcentral
GGUUGGAUGGCCGAGGAUAGGCGUUAAAUUGUAAAUUUAUUAACGAGAGUAAUCUCUCCAACCA